CUUUAUUGGAGAAAGCACAGGAACAAGACAGAUCUGCCUUUGCAUCCAGCUAAGCGUAGCCCAAGCCCACUGCCCAGGCUGGAGACCUUUCUGCUGAUCUUGUUGUGCCAUCAAGUCAUGAUGAGCCAGGGUCAGGAUCCAUUACCACCAUUGAUGUGCCCUUGCUGUCCUCAUAUCAUUGUGCUGAUGUAGAGCUGCAGUCAAAACCAGAAUCCAUUGACGUGCUGCCUGUGCCAUCGGUGUCAUUGCCUUAAAGUGCCUGCAUAGAGCCUCAGACAGAGAUAGAAACCACACAUAUUCCCCUGCUGCCCGUAGUGGCCUCACCUGCAAAGGCCCGUACCUGACUUGUGAAGACUGGUGGGAGGGUGUUUGUUCUAGACCACAAACGAUGGACAUCCCCAAUGAAGGAGGCCAUUGACAAAUUGCUUAACAAACAUCAUGAGAAGAAGGACAUCCUUAAGCUUGUGGAUCAGCAGUAUGCAGCAAUGGUUCAAAACUCCUGCACUGAUCCAAACACCAUGCUCCAUCUAACAACUAAACUACACAUUUCACAAUAUAUUAAGCACUAAGCCAAACGACUGAACACCAGUUCUUUUUUAAACACCAGUGAUGAGAAACUUAAUCAGAGACAGCACCUCUGACACUCCCUGACAGAGGGGAG
Non-coding RNA from Paramisgurnus dabryanus, 661 nucleotides. The record is from RefSeq and is a predicted model, not a curated record. NCBI's taxonomy places the organism in Eukaryota, Metazoa, Chordata, Actinopteri, Cypriniformes, Cobitidae.